UCCAUGAAGAGAGAAGAAACUGCAUACC
Molecule: non-coding RNA, 28 nt
Filed under: Mus musculus (house mouse)
Lineage: Eukaryota; Metazoa; Chordata; Mammalia; Rodentia; Muridae
Source: RNAcentral